AGAGUUUGAUCCUGGCUCAGGACGGACGCUGGCGGCGUGCCUAAUACAUGCAAGUAGAACGCUGAAGAGAGGAGCUUGCUCUUCUUGGAUGAGUUGCGAACGGGUGAGUAACGCGUAGGUAACCUGCCUUGUAGCGGGGGAUAACUAUUGGAAACGAUAGCUAAUACCGCAUAACAAUGGAUGACACAUGUCAUUUAUUUGAAAGGGGCAAUUGUUCCACUACAAGAUGGACCUGCGUUGUAUUAGCUAGUAGGUGAGGUAAUGGCUCACCUAGGCGACGAUACAUAGCCGACCUGAGAGGGUGAUCGGCCACACUGGGACUGAGACACGGCCCAGACUCCUACGGGAGGCAGCAGUAGGGAAUCUUCGGCAAUGGGGGCAACCCUGACCGAGCAACGCCGCGUGAGUGAAGAAGGUUUUCGGAUCGUAAAGCUCUGUUGUAAGUCAAGAACGGGUGUGAGAGUGGAAAGUUCACACUGUGACGGUAGCUUACCAGAAAGGGACGGCUAACUACGUGCCAGCAGCCGCGGUAAUACGUAGGUCCCGAGCGUUGUCCGGAUUUAUUGGGCGUAAAGCGAGCGCAGGCGGUUUGAUAAGUCUGAAGUUAAAGGCUGUGGCUCAACCAUAGUUCGCUUUGGAAACUGUCAAACUUGAGUGCAGAAGGGGAGAGUGGAAUUCCAUGUGUAGCGGUGAAAUGCGUAGAUAUAUGGAGGAACACCGGUGGCGAAAGCGGCUCUCUGGUCUGUAACUGACGCUGAGGCUCGAAAGCGUGGGGAGCGAACAGGAUUAGAUACCCUGGUAGUCCACGCCGUAAACGAUGAGUGCUAGGUGUUGGAUCCUUUCCGGGAUUCAGUGCCGCAGCUAACGCAUUAAGCACUCCGCCUGGGGAGUACGACCGCAAGGUUGAAACUCAAAGGAAUUGACGGGGGCCCGCACAAGCGGUGGAGCAUGUGGUUUAAUUCGAAGCAACGCGAAGAACCUUACCAGGUCUUGACAUCCCGAUGCUAUUUCUAGAGAUAGAAAGUUACUUCGGUACAUCGGUGACAGGUGGUGCAUGGUUGUCGUCAGCUCGUGUCGUGAGAUGUUGGGUUAAGUCCCGCAACGAGCGCAACCCCUAUUGUUAGUUGCCAUCAUUCAGUUGGGCACUCUAGCGAGACUGCCGGUAAUAAACCGGAGGAAGGUGGGGAUGACGUCAAAUCAUCAUGCCCCUUAUGACCUGGGCUACACACGUGCUACAAUGGUUGGUACAACGAGUUGCGAGUCGGUGACGGCGAGCUAAUCUCUUAAAGCCAAUCUCAGUUCGGAUUGUAGGCUGCAACUCGCCUACAUGAAGUCGGAAUCGCUAGUAAUCGCGGAUCAGCACGCCGCGGUGAAUACGUUCCCGGGCCUUGUACACACCGCCCGUCACACCACGAGAGUUUGUAACACCCGAAGUCGGUGAGGUAACCUUUUGGAGCCAGCCGCCUAAGGUGGGACAGAUGAUUGGGGUGAAGUCGUAACAAGGUA
This 1506-nucleotide ribosomal RNA is filed under the name metagenome. RNAcentral describes it as "bacterial SSU rRNA". It matches the Rfam family "Bacterial small subunit ribosomal RNA". The record is from RNAcentral.